This 222-nucleotide ribosomal RNA is filed under the name uncultured bacterium. Its description in RNAcentral is "partial 16S ribosomal RNA". It matches the Rfam family "Bacterial small subunit ribosomal RNA", at positions 524 to 744 of the family's 1533-position model. The record is from RNAcentral.
UACGGAGGGUGCAAGCGUUAUCCGGAUUCACUGGGUUUAAAGGGUGCGUAGGCGGAUAUGUAAGUCCGUGGUGAAAUCUCUGGGCUUAACCCGGAAACUGCCAUGGAUACUAUGUGUCUUGAAUGUUGUUGAGGUGAGCGGAAUAUGUCAUGUAGCGGUGAAAUGCUUAGAUAAUGACAUAGAACACCAAUUGCGAAGGCAGCUCACUAAGCAAAUAUUGAC